GAUGAACGCUGGCGGCGUGCCUAAUACAUGCAAGUCGAGCGAACAGACGAGGAGCUUGCUCCUCUGACGUUAGCGGCGGACGGGUGAGUAACACGUGGAUAACCUACCUAUAAGACUGGGAUAACUUCGGGAAACCGGAGCUAAUACCGGAUAACAUGUUGAACCGCAUGGUUUAACAGUGAAAGACGGUCUUGCUGUCACUUAUAGAUGGAUCCGCGCCGCAUUAGCUAGUUGGUAAGGUAACGGCUUACCAAGGCAACGAUGCGUAGCCGACCUGAGAGGGUGAUCGGCCACACUGGAACUGAGACACGGUCCAGACUCCUACGGGAGGCAGCAGUAGGGAAUCUUCCGCAAAGGGCGAAAGCCUGACGGAGCAACGCCGCGUGAGUGAAGAAGGUCUUCGGAUCGUAAAACUCUGCUAUUAGGGAAGAACAAAUGUGUAAGUAACUAUGCACGUCUUGACGGUACCUAAUCAGAAAGCCACGGCUAACUACGUG
RNAcentral lists this ribosomal RNA (497 nucleotides) under uncultured bacterium. RNAcentral describes it as "partial 16S ribosomal RNA". It matches the Rfam family "Bacterial small subunit ribosomal RNA", at positions 28 to 507 of the family's 1533-position model. The record is from RNAcentral.